AUUGGCACACAGAACACACGAAAUACUUCAAAUAUGAUCAACAAUCAAAGUGCUACAUCAUAUAACACGUACAAAUGUGAUCAGCAUCAAGUUUACAAUCAGAUAACAAGGUCCACAAGUGUACAAUCACAUGAGCCAGAUUCUUCUACAUCAUAUAACACACAUACAAAUAGGAGCAGCAUAAAGGGCUUCAUUACUCUCAGAACUAGCUUCAAUGAGCUAGAACUAUUCUUCCUCCAACUUCUUUGUCCCGAUGAUCACGAAAAAACAUGAAAGCCCAGCAUCUGCACGUUACAAAACAAAAUGUUUAGGAACAAAAUAGAAGUAAAUCUAACAGCAUAUUUAACAAUAAAUAACAGAAUAAUGAAGUUAAUGAGACAUUUUAGAAUCAACUUGACAGUUGACAGUAAUGUUUGCAUUGGACAUAUCUAAAACUAAAAUUAUACAUAAAUGCCUAAAUUCCAAUUCCCAAUGCCUCAGUUUAGUAAACACUAAGCAUGGUACAUAGUAAAGAUUUGACACAACCAGAACUGAAAUCAUUUACUCUAUCAAGCAACAAUGAUGCAGCACACAAGAAAAGAGAGAUGCACAACGGAGCAACAUCGUAUAUCACACAAUAUGGACACUGUCAGCUCACGAAUGAACUUGUGGUCGCCGCCGUACACAGCCGCCAUAACGUCGGUCACCUCGUUGAUCUUGUCCUUAAAGUUCUCUAACUCCAGGUUGUUCCACUGCAGCUCGGUAUUUGCUCAACCGUAUGUGUACAUGCAUCAAGGCAUACAUAAAAUAUUCAAUUCAAUAUUCUCAGCUAAUUGUGAUGUAAUGAAAAUAAUUACUUACGGAAUAGGGGUAAAAAUUGAUUUUAGAGAUCAAAAUUUGUAGCGCUCAUUUCAACCAUGUUCAGAUAAACAGUAAAUUAGCAGUAAGGAUAUUAGUUACAUGCUGGGUGUGUUACUGCUGUCCAACACCACCACCACCAGAGACACGCAAGAUAAGCAUCAACACCACCAUGAUAUUGAUAUUAGCCACCCCACAUCACCAGAGCAUCAUAGGAGCACAUAUAUAACACAAGUACACGUGGGCAGCUACUGACAGACCCUAGAACCGCAUGAAUUUAUCACCAGA
This 1125-nucleotide long non-coding RNA is filed under the name Triticum aestivum (bread wheat). Its description in RNAcentral is "long non-coding RNA (TAES_LNC021958)". Lineage: Eukaryota; Viridiplantae; Streptophyta; Magnoliopsida; Poales; Poaceae. The record is from RNAcentral.